UCCUAGAUAGAUCUUGUGUGAUCGUAGAAUUUUUUCGAAAUACUACGUUCCCCAACAAAUUAUUUUACUAAUCCUCAUUUUGUUUCAAACCAAACUCAAAUUCAAAUUCAAAUGCCAAGUUGAGUUAUAAUUUUAUAAAGCAGUAAAUUAAAAUGUUCCUCAGGUUGAGAAUAUUCACUACAUAAUUUUCAUACAUUAACAAUCUUUUUUUGAAUUUUUCAAAAUGGCUAUGUAUAUUAAAUAGUGGACUAGAGGCACCCGUUUAGCCCUUUUAAAUGCAAUUAUAAUUUAAAUGAUUUCAAUUUGGCCCCAAACUUUUUGUGCCACCCCAAAGUUUUGUGCUUGAUUUAUGUGCCAAGUUUCAGUUAUAGCAAAAAUCGUUUGCUGCAUAAUCUAAAUGCAAAAGAAUGGUGGAAAUAUUACAGGAAAUAAAAGGGAAAAUAUGGGAGACCUACUGUGCACUUAGGCCUGCUAAGCUACAGUGCGGCCCAGCCCACUUGGAGUCUCCCCUCUCCUCUGUUCACAGAACAUGCGCAACUUCACAUACUUGAAAGUCAACUUGAUAAGUUCAAGAUGAAAGAUGGUGAAGGCGUUUACUCUAGGCUUGCACUCAUCAGUUCGAAAUUGUUCGAAAUUUCCGGAUAUUUCAGUGAGUUCAGAAAUCUAUUAUAUAUAAAAAGCACUUAAUGGCCUCAUUAGAAAAAUAUAAAUAACCUUGAAAUUACCACAAUAAUUAAAAACAUCUGGCGUUUAUUUAACUGACUAAAAUUAUAUAGCCAUUAGAUUAGAUUAGAUUUAUGUGAAAAAAUUACCCACCAUUGCCAUUAUAAUAAAGAAGAAAACGUUUCACCAUAUCCUUAGCUAAUUAAAACAAAAAAUACCAUAGGAUUAUGGGUAACCAAUCGUUUUGUCAAAAUCGUACUGCAAAGAGAGGCACCGCUAGGGUUUCUCUGGCGGCGGCUCAGGUUCUCACAUCGAUGGGGUUCCGCCCAGAAGCCUCAAUCGAUUCUCCGAUGACUUGUGUGCUGAUAAGAGAGAUGUAGCUGAGUAUGGGGUGCAUGUAUUUGCUGGACUCAAGCCGAUCUCACAGCCGCCGAGGAAGUGCAGGCUGCCGCGGAUUGGUGGUGCAAUGAUUUCUGCUCCAUUCAUCAACUGUUAAAUUCAUCACUAAACCAGGACGAUUGGAGUGGCCUUUUCGGUUGCUUGGAAGGAAGCUCAGUCAUCUAACCACAAGAUUUGAAAUUUCAGUUUGUCCUUGGUUCAGCAAGUUUCUGAGACUAAUAAUCUCCAAGAGAUCUUUCACAAGCCACUCUCUACCCAAGCUUUUGGCCAGUUCCAACAAGUUCAAUUAACAUUAGCUCACAUCACUCUCACGCCUUGCUCGCUAGGAUAUAUGGAGCUACUAUUGAAAUUAUGCAACCUUUUCUGCUGCCAAACUUUACAGAGUUCUAAUUCAAGGAGAGAGGGCACACCCCAUAUUUAAGAAGAUUUGGAAAUCAGCAGUGAUUCAGAGAUACCAAAUUUUCUGUUGGUUUCUGAUCCAAGAUAGGCUCAACACAACAAGUCUGCUUCUUAGGAAAUCAUUUCACCUGCCCUCCUACCAAUGUGCGCUAUGUAAUGAGCAAAUUGAGACCACAUUGCACCUCUUUUUGGACUGCUCAUUUGCUCUAGAAUGCUGGCACCUGAUCACCCCUAAUAAGAAGAGGAACACAUCUUUCAUUCAGGAAAUCAUGCUGGCUUUGAAUGAAUUACCAAAUGGAGUGGGCAUGAACAUUGUCAUUAAUGAGUUGCUGGCAUAUUUGGAUGCAAAGGAACAACAAGAUCUUUAAGCAUAUAUAUCCAAUCACCACAUCAUGGAAGCUGCUACACAAGAAAGAUUUACAGUUGCUACAUCAUAGAACUAAGCACUAGCUCCUUCAAGUUUUUCAAGACUGGAUUGCCACACGUUUGUAGUCUGAAAGAUCCUUGAGUUAGACAUGUUUCCAAGAGCAGGCAUUGGUUAGAUGGGCUUGGCCAUCUCCUUUUCUUUUUAUCCCUUUUGUACAUACAUUUUUAAUUGCUUUUAAUGAAAAUUACCAUCGAACAAUUGUUAUUCAGCCUCUGGCUAAAAAAACAUGCUAGAAGAACUGAGAAGUCGAGAAGACUACAUAAUGUGGAAAGUGAAGAAUCAGACUGAUGGGACCCAAAAACAGAUGACAUUUUGUACAUGUAGUAGUGUGGAUAAUGUUAUUUUUUCUACAAAGAAAGUAGACACUAUUUCUUUCUAGAAAGUGGUCACUGUGAAAGCAAACAAUGUAACAUGAAUAUAUAAGUUUCUUACCGAGAAA
Long non-coding RNA from Aegilops tauschii subsp. strangulata, 2327 nucleotides. RefSeq lists it as uncharacterized. The record is from RefSeq and is a predicted model, not a curated record. NCBI's taxonomy places the organism in Eukaryota, Viridiplantae, Streptophyta, Magnoliopsida, Poales, Poaceae.